AUACCUUUCUCGGCCUUUUGGCUAAGAUCAAGUGUAGUAUCUGUUCUUAUCAGUUUAAUAUCUGAUAAGCAGGCCAUAGGCCUGCACGAUAUUAAAUUAAUUUUUCUCGGGGAAGGGCCUACCCUAUGGUAGCUUGCUGCCGCGGCCCUCCAGCGUCGCCCUCGCAUUGCACUAUUGCCCUCGGCCUGGCGCGCCCCAC
Diospyros lotus (date-plum) is the source of this 199-nucleotide small nuclear RNA. RefSeq annotates it as U2 spliceosomal RNA. NCBI's taxonomy places the organism in Eukaryota, Viridiplantae, Streptophyta, Magnoliopsida, Ericales, Ebenaceae. The transcript has a single exon. The record is from RefSeq and is a predicted model, not a curated record.